CAAGACUCCUACGGGAGGCAGCAGUGGGGAAUAUUGCACAAUGGGGGAAACCCUGAUGCAGCAACGCCGCGUGAGUGAAGAAGUAUUUCGGUAUGUAAAGCUCUAUCAGCAGGGAAGAAGAUGACGGUACCUGAAUAAGAAGCCCCGGCUAACUACGUGCCAGCAGCCGCGGUAAUACGUAGGGGGCAAGCGUUAUCCGGAUUUACUGGGUGUAAAGGGAGCGCAGACGGCAGUGCAAGUCUGGAGUGAAAGCCCGGGACCCAACCCCGGAACUGCUCUGGAAACUGUGCGGCUAGAGUACUGGAGGGGCAGGCGGAAUUCCUAGUGUAGCGGUGAAAUGCGUAGAUAUUAGGAGGAACACCAGUGGCGAAGGCGGCUUACUGGACAGUAACUGACGUUGAGGCUCGAAAGCGUGGGGAGCAAACAGGAUUAGAUACCCGAGUAAUG
This 447-nucleotide ribosomal RNA is filed under the name uncultured bacterium. RNAcentral describes it as "bacterial SSU rRNA". It matches the Rfam family "Bacterial small subunit ribosomal RNA", at positions 331 to 793 of the family's 1533-position model. The record is from RNAcentral.